AUAACGGUCCUAAGGUAGCGAAAUUCCUUGUCAGGUAAGUUCUGACCCGCACGAAAGGCGUAACGAUUUGGGCGCUGUCUCAACAAGAAACUCGGUGAAAUCAUAGUACCUGUGAAGAUGCAGGUUACCCGCGAUCAGACGGAAAGACCCCAUGGAGCUUCACUGCAACUUAAUAUUGAUAUUGGGUGUGUGAUGUACAGGAUAGGUGGGAGACAAAGAAGCGAGUACGCUAGUAUUCGUGGAGUCAACCUUGGGAUACCACCCCUCGCACAUUUAGUAUCUAACUAGUUUCCAUAAGCUGGGAAUAGAACAGUGUUAGGUGGGCAGUUUGACUGGGGCGGUCGCCUCCCAAAGAGUAACGGAGGCGCCCAAAGGUUCCCUCAGAAUGGUUGGAAAUCAUUCAUAGAGUGUAAAGGCAGAAGGGAGCUUGACUGCGAGACGGACAGGUCGAGCAGGAACGAAAGUUGGGCUUAGUGAACCGGCUGUGCUGAAUGGAAAGGCAGUCGAUCAACGGACAAAAGCUACCCUGGGGAUAACAGGCUGAUCUCCCCCAAGAGUUCACAUCGACGGGGAGGUUUGGCACCUCGAUGUCGGCUCAUCGCAUCCUGGGGCUGUAUUCGGUCCCAAGGGUUUGGCUGUUCGCCAAUUAAAGCGGUACGCGAGCUGGGUUCAGAACGUCGUGAGACAGUUCGGUCCCUAUCUGUCGUGGGCGUAGGAAAUUUGAAGGGAGUUGUCCCUAGUACGAGAGGACCAGGAUGAACGCACCGCUGGUGCACCAGUUGGCUUGCCAAGGCCACAGCUGGGUAGCUACGUGCGGCCGGGAUAAACGCUGAAAGCAUCUAAGCGUGAAGCCCCCCCUGAGAUGAGAUUUCCCAUUAGAAAUAAGUAAGACCCCUUAGAGAUGAUGAGGUUGAUAGGUCAGAGAUGUAAGCACUGCGAGGUGUUGAGUUGACUGAUACUAAUAGGUCGAGGACUUAACCUU
This 982-nucleotide ribosomal RNA is filed under the name human gut metagenome. Its description in RNAcentral is "bacterial LSU rRNA". It matches the Rfam family "Bacterial large subunit ribosomal RNA", at positions 1942 to 2925 of the family's 2925-position model. The record is from RNAcentral.